UACGUAGGGUGCGAGCGUUAAUCGGAAUUACUGGGCGUAAAGCGUGCGCAGGCGGUUCGUUGUGUCUGAUGUGAAAGCCCCGGGCUCAACCUGGGAAUGGCAUUGGAAACUGGCGAGCUAGAGUGUGGCAGAGGGGGGUGGAAUUCCGCGUGUAGCAGUGAAAUGCGUAGAGAUGCGGAGGAACACCGAUGGCGAAGGUAGCCCCCUGGGCUAGCACUGACGCUCAGGCACGAAAGCGUGGGGAGCAAACAGG
This 253-nucleotide ribosomal RNA is filed under the name uncultured bacterium. Its description in RNAcentral is "partial 16S ribosomal RNA". It matches the Rfam family "Bacterial small subunit ribosomal RNA", at positions 524 to 776 of the family's 1533-position model. The record is from RNAcentral.